Equus quagga is the source of this 524-nucleotide long non-coding RNA. RefSeq lists it as uncharacterized. NCBI's taxonomy places the organism in Eukaryota, Metazoa, Chordata, Mammalia, Perissodactyla, Equidae. The record is from RefSeq and is a predicted model, not a curated record. The transcript is spliced from 3 exons.
CAGUACUCUUUUCCUAUUCAUCUUUAAGGACGAUGCCAAGAUUAACGCCUCUUCCCUCUCCGGGAAUGGCGUGGUCCAACCGCGUCAAUCUUUCGCCGUUAGCGGCGCGACUCGAGGCCGCGGUUCUGCCUCCGAGGUCACCACCUGUCUGGGCAGCAUUUGGCCUCCAGCCUCCGGGACAUCGAUCUCUCCGGGGAGGGGGUGGACAGAGCCAGGUUGGGAGAGAGGAAAGAAAAAGAAGCUAGCAAUUGUGCCUCGAGCCCCUACUGUGUAUGAGUACAAAUGCCUCAUUUAUUCCUCAUUACAACCUGCGAAAGAGAUUUUAUCCCGUUUUAUGGAAACUGAGCUUCAGAAUGGGCAGCAGAAGAGGACUGAAAUGCCUAACAGGUGCUCAAGAACCGCUACCAUGAUGAAGACUCUCCCCCUGGUCAGAUGUACUUGUUUGGGGAGAGGCUGUUCAUCUACAGAGGAAGUGAAGUGCUACAGGGAUCUCUACCCGGGUCUGGAACAAGAUUUGGAGGUGG